Long non-coding RNA from Gavialis gangeticus (Gharial), 455 nucleotides. RefSeq lists it as uncharacterized. The transcript has 3 exons. The record is from RefSeq and is a predicted model, not a curated record. Lineage: Eukaryota; Metazoa; Chordata; Crocodylia; Gavialidae.
ACAAAAAACCUGAAGACGACUGAAGGCUUUUGCACUGGUUUCUCCAUGGGUGGGGAUUUGUUGCAUUACUUGUAGCUAUGUUUAGAGUAUUGCACUUGUCCCGGCCUGUGGAGGAAAGGAGGACUUGUCGUCAGGUCUCUCUUAAAGCUGCCCAGGUGGUUAUGCUUUGUUUUGCUGUUGUCGGGUGGAUCACGAUGCAAUUUUGAUUAGUUUAGAAGGAGAAAAAUUGCACGGUAUCCAUCUGUAAACCGCAGGACCUUCAUCGCUGACAAUGUCACUUUUGUCAGUACUUGGAAGGGCACGAAAACGGUUGCAAGUGCGCAGAGUGGCCAAGGUCUUGUGGGAGACCUUAGGAAGCAUCGUUUUACCGGGGGUAUUUAUUUCAGAAACCUAGAAGGUGGAUUCUCUCCGAGGAAUCCACGUGGUGGAGACGGUUUAGGCAGAAACUUCUUGUA